RNAcentral lists this long non-coding RNA (316 nucleotides) under Marmota monax (woodchuck). Lineage: Eukaryota; Metazoa; Chordata; Mammalia; Rodentia; Sciuridae. The record is from RNAcentral.
CCGGAAGUGCUUUUCUAAGGUUCGGGCCGGAGAGAGGCCUGGUAGGCACAGCCGCAGAGGCUCCUUCGGCUCCGUGGACUCGGAGCAGGGGCUCCAACCCGGGUCAGAGUUUGGAGGUCCACGGCCACCCACCCGCGCCCCGUGACCUCCCUGCGCCCGGGCGGACGGUGAGUGGACGGGGAAACGGACUGGGCCGGCCUCAGGCCUGGGUUGGGGCUGGCGCUCUCGGGCCCCGGCCGUCCGCUCCGGGCUCCGGGCAGCAGGCAGCGGACUCAGCUGUCGGAGUCUGGGGAAGGGGGUUGUUGACCGCCGCGGU